This 303-nucleotide ribosomal RNA is filed under the name uncultured bacterium. Its description in RNAcentral is "partial 16S ribosomal RNA". It matches the Rfam family "Bacterial small subunit ribosomal RNA", at positions 507 to 807 of the family's 1533-position model. The record is from RNAcentral.
AGCAGCAGCCGCGGUAAUACAGAGGGUGCGAGCGUUAAUCGGAUUUACUGGGCGUAAAGCGUGCGUAGGCGGCUUUUUAAGUCGGAUGUGAAAUCCCUGAGCUUAACUUAGGAAUUGCAUUCGAUACUGGGAAGCUAGAGUAUGGGAGAGGAUGGUAGAAUUCCAGGUGUAGCGGUGAAAUGCGUAGAGAUCUGGAGGAAUACCGAUGGCGAAGGCAGCCAUCUGGCCUAAUACUGACGCUGAGGUACGGAAGCAUGGGGAGCAAACAGGAUUAGAUACCCCAGUAGUCCCUGUCUCUUAUAC